Molecule: small nucleolar RNA, 131 nt
Organism: Nothobranchius furzeri (turquoise killifish)
Lineage: Eukaryota; Metazoa; Chordata; Actinopteri; Cyprinodontiformes; Nothobranchiidae
Source: Ensembl
AAUGCCCCUUGAGGCGUUGCAGCUCAACUGAGUGUUGCAGCUGUGUCAUAAGGUGGCAGAGAGAGACUGGUGGUGGUCUGCACUGAAACUCUACGCCCAUGGAGGAUUCAGAGUCAUGCUCACCACGCACA